GAUCGACUGGAUGAUGAUCUUGCUCUAAUGAAGUAAGCGGCGGACGGGUGAGUAACACGUGGUGUAACCUGUCCCAUGAAGACUGGUGAUAACUCCGUGGACAACGGGGCUAAUACCGGAUAACAUUUUGCACUGCAUGGUGCGAAAUUGAAAGGCGGCUUCGGCUGUCACUUAUGGAUGGACCCGCGUCGCAUAAGCUAGUUGGUGAGGUAACGGCUCACCAAUGCAACGAUGCGUAUCCGACCUGAUAGGGUGAUCGGCCUCUCUGGGCAUGAUACACUGUCCAUACUCCUACGGGAGGCAUCAGUAUGGAAUCUUCCGCAAUGGACGAAUGUCUGACGGAGCAUCGCCGCGUGAGUGAUGAAUGCUUUCGGGUCGUAAAACUCUGUUGUUAUGGAAGAACAUGUGCUAUUUGAAUAAUCUGGCACCUUGACGGUACCUAACCAGAAAGCCACGGCUAACUACGUGCCAGCAGCCGCGGUAAU
Molecule: ribosomal RNA, 485 nt
Filed under: uncultured bacterium
Lineage: Bacteria
Description: bacterial SSU rRNA
Rfam family: Bacterial small subunit ribosomal RNA
Source: RNAcentral